This 878-nucleotide ribosomal RNA is filed under the name Proteus sp. FA-12. RNAcentral describes it as "partial 16S ribosomal RNA". It matches the Rfam family "Bacterial small subunit ribosomal RNA", at positions 29 to 726 of the family's 1533-position model. Lineage: Bacteria; Pseudomonadati; Pseudomonadota; Gammaproteobacteria; Enterobacterales; Morganellaceae. The record is from RNAcentral.
CCUUAACUUAGGGGCAUACACAUGCAGUCGAGCGGUAACAGCGAGAAAGCUUGCUUUCUUGCUGACGAGCGGCGGACGGGUGAGUAAUGUAUGGGGAUCUGCCCGAUAAGGGGGGAUAACUACUGGAAACGGUGGCUAAUACCGCAUAAUGUCUACGGACCAAAGCAGGGGGCUCUUGGACCUUGCACUAUCGGAUGAACCCAUAUGGGAUUAGCUAGUAGGUGGGGUAAAGGCUCACCUAGGCGACGAUCUCUAGCUGGUCUGAGAGGAUGAUCAGCCACACUGGGACUGAGACACGGCCCAGACUCCUACGGGAGGCAGCAGUGGGGAAUAUUGCACAAUGGGCGCGCAAGCCUGAUGCAGCCAUGCCGCGUGCAUGAAGAAGGCCUUAGGGUUGUAAAGUACUUUCAGGGGAGGAAGGUGAUAAGGUUAAUACCCUUGUCAAUUGACGUUACCCGCAGAAGAAGCACCGGCUAACUCCGUGCCAGCAACGCGGUAAUACGGAGGGUGCAAGCUUAAUCGAAAUUACUGGGCGUAAAGCCCACGCAUGCGGUCAACUAAGUCAAAUGUGAAGAGUUUAAGCUUAACGUGGGAAUUGCCUGGGAACUGGUUGCCAGAUUUCUUGUCAAAAGGGGGGGGAGAAUUCCAACCUCCACCCGUAAAAUGGCCUACACAUUUACCGGAGGGAAACCCGGGGGAAAAGAACCCCUGUUUGCCCCAAAACUUUUUCUCCCGUGGACCAACAGUUUUUUGUCCCAGGGGGGCCCCCUUCCCCCCCGGUUUUCCCCCUGAUCCUCUCCGCAUUUUAACCGGUUUAGGGGGGAAUUUCCCCCCCCCUCGAGAAAACUCGGCUAAACAUUUUUCAAAGGGGAUUUCCC